UAAAUAAUGAUCUGCUACUUUAUAUGAUGGAUUUCCAGUUACUGAUAUUUUUUUGGAACAAAAGAAGUAAAAUUUGGUGAGCUAUUUAUUGUUAAAUAAUAUGAUGAUGAUCUCCCGCAAAUAUUUAAGUAUUAGAGGUUCAACGGUCUGUCUUGGGGUCUUGUUACUUUACUAAUAUCUGAGUGAUGAUGUCUAUAGACUAUAGCUAUUGUAUAUGGCCUACAAAUGAUGGAUUCAUGGGAUAUUUCCACCCCCUCAAAUGGUGGCAGGAGAAUCCUGGAAAUUAAUCUCUGAGAAGUUGACCUGAAUUGGAAUUACCAGUCAAUUGUCUCACUACUACCAGUCAAAUUUGUGGGCACUGUAUAUGGUACCCUGAAAGUCAUCUUUCAGGAAAAUCUGCUGAUUGCCAGAUCCAAAUCACUUUCUUAAUCUAUUCUUUUUCAUUGCCCCCACUUUUCUCUUUUCUGCUUUCAUUGUCUGAAACUUAACAAUAGACAGUCUAACUCUUUCUUCUUCAAGGUAAGGUCUGUGUAGAUUCUAAAACCAUAUUUAUUGUAACUUUUCUUGAAUAGGUACUUUUCUGCUCCAGCAACAGAUACGGAAAGAACUGAACAAGAUUUUCUGUUGAACAAGAUUUUGAACAAGUCAGUUACAGUACAUUAUUGGAAUAGUUUGACUUCUUCUCUGAUUCCAGAGCCUGAGAGCCUUGUUUCCAGGCUAAUUAAUCAGCCUUGCAUCCGUUGCUCCGAUGUAUUAUAGUUUUAUAUUCAAGAUCACAUGUUUCCAAGAACUGCCCUCCCAACUGAAACUAAUAUGGAGAAGCUUAGUUCUGCACUUGCUGACCCUCUCUUUACAUGGAAAAUGGAGGAACCGAGAAGAGUUUGAUCAAUGAGAUUAUGCAUUUGAUUGUGCAUUGGGGUUGCUUGCUGCUAUGGGUACGGACUGGGUCACAAGCUUAUACUGCAGAUUGAUUUUGAAGAUUGAAGAACGCGCAUCUCUACUAGGAAUCAGAAAUUUCUCACUGUUGAGCUUCAGAGGGCAUGCAGUUUUUUAUUGCAGUUUCUUGGUUAAGAUAUACAGAAGCCAUGCAUGCAGAUCCGAGCGCCUAAGGGCUUGUGGUACGAGGAAUGCCUCAUUUAUUCUUUUAAAUUAGAAACAAUUGGUUGGCUCUGCAUGUUAGUCAUUUUUCUUUUUCAUUAUACUCAAAUGGUCCUCUGACCUCCAGAUGGCAGGAAAGUUGAUAUCUUGAUAUUCUUUUGCAAAUAAAGUAGGAAGUCUAAACAUGAAGGUGCUGAUUACGACGGAAUGUGAUGUAGUUUGUUACACAAACAUACAACGAAGGGACCUAAAUACAGUUGGUCUCAUCAAUUCUCAUGCUAUAAUAACCAAGGAAAAGUGCCAAAUUAAGUGCUUACUUUCCCACUUAUUUGCCAUGAGAACUUUGAAGCUGCAUCCUAAUUCUUUUGAGCGUGGAAAGAACAUCUUGCAUGUUCUUUCUAGCAUUGGGUGAUGUUUCUGUGCAGUCCAAAGCCAGCUCCAUAAGUGAUGACACAGAACGCAUCUUAGCCUCAAAAUUUUCUUCUUCUGGUUUUAGCAAAUUAGAGUCUAAAACCUGCAAAAGUCCACUUGGAAAAGAAUCUAUGAUCCAUUGCCUCAGGGUUAUAGCUCCAGCAAACAUGUCAUCACUAGGUUUUACUCGAGUGAAAGUCUCCAUCAACAUGAUACCGUAACUAUAAACAUCACAUUUAGUGGACACUAACCCUUCCAAUCCAUGCUCUGCAAAAAACCAAUUUCAAUGUUAAGAGCAAAUAUAUAAUCUUUUUGUCAAGAAUGUCAUGCUCUGAGCAAAGAAGAAAAGAUUUUUGUCAAAGGAAUGCCCGGAAGAAGAUGAAUCGAAAAAAAAAGAUUUUACCCGGUGCAAUGUAUCCUAUUGUCGCGAUUGUUUUGGUAUGUGUAAUUCCAUCUUCUGCACCCAAUAAUUUUGCAAUACCAAAAUCACAUACAUGUCCUACCAUUUCUUCAUCAAGCAAAACAUUGCUAGGCUUCACAUCACAGUGCACCACUGAGGUAGAAUAACCAUUAUGGAGGUAAUCCAAUGCAGAUGCCACAUCUAUCAUUAUAUCUAGCCUCUGAAAGAUGUCUAGGAAGUAGUUGUGAGAAUACAACCAUUUUUCAAGGCUGCCAUUAGGCAUGUACUCCAGCACUAGGGCUUUGAAGUCCAUGUCCUGGUUGGAGCAACUAGUGAUGACUUUUGUUAAAUUUCGGUGACGAAUGUUGCGUACUACUUCACAUUCUGUAUCAAAGGUCUUGAGUGCUCCUGCUAGUUUCAUGUCAAAUACUUUUACAGCCACAGGAGUACCAUCAGGUAGUGUACCUUUGUAGACAGUGCUGUAACCCCCAAUACCAAGCAGGUUGCUUUCACUGAAUCCGUCAGUAACUUUUUCGAGUUCAUAAUAGGAAAUCCUUUGAUGUGCUGUUGCAGGUGAUGGAUCAGUUUCAACUGCUUUUUCCUUUUUCUUUUGCCAUCUUGCAAUUAGAAAUCCCAGAGCUGAAACAAGAAUUAGAGAUGAAAUCCCAAGGAUAAUGUAUAUGAUUGAAAAGAAUCUUUUCCUUCUCCUGUGGGCAGAAAUCGUAGGGCAGGGAAGCACUUGAAACUGAGGAGCACCACAUAGUGCACCAUUGGACAAAAAAGAUUGAUUUGUGAAGUUUUGGAAAGGACCACCAGUAGGAAUUUGUCCACUUAAUUGAUUGAAGGAGACAUUAAAUUGUCUGAGGUACUUGAGAUCCUCGAGUGACUGGGGAAUCAUUCCAGUAAGCUUAUUAUGAGACAAAUCUAAUGUUUCCAAGCUUACCACCUUGCCUAGUGUAUUUGGAAUAGGCCCUUCCAGGUUAUUCUGGGCUAAGGAGAGAUUGAUCAGGUUCUGAAGGCCAUCUAUAGAUUGUGGAAUAUUUCCAGAGAAGUUAUUGCUGGACAAAUCAAUUUCUACUACAACCUUUAAAUUUCCAAUUUCAGGAGUUAGAAAUCCGCUAAGUGAAUUUGAGGAUGCAUCAAAUCUCAGAAGAUCUUUCAGCCUCCAUAAGCUUGGAGGCAAACUUGAGCUGAAACUGUUAGAAGCUAGAAUAAGGUGUCUCAAGGAAGAAAUAUUUCCUAUACAGGAUGGCACAGCACCGGAGAUCUGAUUCCCUCUGAGACCUAUUGCGCCAAGCUUUUGUAAGCUGCAGAUAUUGUUUGGCACUGAUCCUGUUAUCUUGUUGUUGUCUAAAUACAACUGUUGAAGGCUUUGUAAACCAUCAAUGGUGCUCGGAAUGGUACCAAUCAAAUUGUUGUCAAAAAGACUUAACAAGGAAACACUAGUCAGAUUACCGAUUUGGUCUGGAAUAGUACCCCUGAUAUUACAUCCAGAGGAAUCAAAAAUUUGGAGAGAGGUAGAAAAAUUACCAAUGGAGGCUGGAAGUGUACCAUUUAAAGGAUUCCCACCAAUAUCAAGUUCUGUCAGAUUUCUGCAUUUUGUCAAAGAAGUAAGAAAUAUGAGUUCUGAAGAUGAAGAUUCAAUGAUCAAAUUGUUACCCCCCAAGUUCAGAAGUACAAGGGAUCCUAAAUUUCCAAGUGCAUUGGGUAUAGGACCACUGAAACCGUUAUUUGAGAUGUCCAAAAUGGUGAGCUUUGAAGCAUUUGAGAUGGAAACAGGUAUAUUUCCACUAAGGUUAUUCAUUCCAAAGUGAAGUGUUUCAAGAUUUGGCACUUUUUUGCCCAUAUCUGAAGGCAGAUUACCAGAUAGGGAAUUUGCCACACAUGUGAAGUCCCUAAGUGUUGAAAUGUUGAAGACACUUGCCGGAAUGGAACCACUUAAACUAUCCCCAUCUAAUCCAAACACUUCUAGUCUUUGAAGGUUACCAAUCUCUGUUGGUAUUGUACCUGCCAGAUUAUCACAGUGCAUAAACAGAAAUAAUUAACUACUCUGAAAUUGUUCAAACUCCAAGACCAAGAAAAAAUGGAUAAUGCUAGUAAAAUAAAGCUGUCCCAGAGUGAUAUAUCGUCAUAAUUCUUUAUCUGACUACUCACAUCAAGAAUUAGCUCUUAAAUAGAGUAAGAAAACUAUAUAAAAGAAACGAUUACAUGAGGAGAAAGUGAAAACUUUCAAGCAUGCAAAGUUCGCAAACUGAAGUCGGGCAGGGGGGAAGCAAAAUUACCUUCCAAAUUGUUACCCCCAAGAUGUAACAGUGUCAGCAGAGUUAAAUUCCCAAUUUCUCUUGGUAUGGUUCCACUAAAUUCAUUGCGGGACAGUGAUAGAAGUUGAAGCUGUGAACAUUUUCCUAUACUAGGGGGUAUUAGGCCUUCUAGUUCAUUGCUUGAAAGAUAAAGCCUUUCAAGCUUUGGAAGAUUAUAGCAAAUAUCUACCGGAAGAUCACUGGACAGAUCAUUGCCCGAAAGGGCAAUGAUUUGCAGCAAGGAAAGAUUGAACACAUGUGGUGGUAUGGGACCUGUAAACUGGUUACCUUCCAGGUUUAAAAAUGUUAAGGAAUGAAGAUCACCUAUUUCUUCUGGAAUGCUCCCCUGUAGGAAAUUCCUGUUCAAGGCUAGCUCCUCAAUUUUAGUUAGAUUAGAGAGUGAGGCUGGUAUGCUACCUGAAAAGCUGUUACGCGAGAGGUGCAAGAGUUGAAGUUCAGGCAAGGAACUGAAGACAGAUGGUGGAAUCUUCCCACUAAAAUUGUUACGCCUUAAAUCAAGAAGCUUCAACCUGCGCAACAAAGCUAGCUGUCCAGGCAGAUUUCCCGAAAAACUGUUGUUACUGAGAUCAAGAUAACUGAGAAAAGAGAGGUUUCCCAGGUCUGCGGGGAUGCUUCCAGUGAGGCCCAUGUUGGAAAUAUCCAGGGAUGUGACUCUGGAAUGCCUUGAACCGCAAGUGACACCAAUCCAGCUGCAGACAGAUGAUGCUGCAGACCAGUUUUUCUCUAGGAAAACAUUGUUAGAGCUAAAAGAAAUAUGCGAUUUUAACACCAGAAGUGCAGAUUGAUCAGUGGUAUUUGUUAAAGCAGAUGUAACACAAUGAACAGACAAGAAUGCAGCAAACAAGAGGAUUCUGGCUCUACCCAUUGAAGAUUUUUUGUUGGAAUGUGCGGUUUCUCUAAACCUAACAAAGUGGGCAUGACAGAAAUAUGAAUGGGAAAUGAAGAAACUCUGAAUCAAUAGUCAUUCUUUAUUGUCUUGUAGUAUAAUAAAUUUGCUUUUCUGGGAUUUGUUUCGUGGAUAUUUAGCUCAUCAGCUUUGUCCUUUGUAGUGAAAGUCCAUUCUUGAAACAAGAUUGCUUCCCCAUCCCGCCCACCACAGGCCCCCACCCCUCCCCGAAGGGGCGGCCGCCUGCAGAGGUACGUACAUUAAAGAAGCAACCUUUGGAUAAAGUUUAAUCUUCAAACUCUUUUAACAAAACUUAUGCAUUGGCAUUGAAAGAGACCAUGCAUGUUAAUGUUUUCACCAAAUUUCCCACGAAUUUGAGGCGAAAGAGGCGAAUUCAUCCAUAACUACGUAGACAAGUAGAUUAAAGCAUAAAAAAUCAAAAUACAUGUCCACAGGCAGGCACGGUUCAGUUGAAUGCAGUUGUAUUUGUUACAUAAUCCAGUGUUUAUUUAUAUCACUUUGUUAUGUGCCAGAAUAAUAUUUUUAUAUACUGAAUCUCAUAAGAAAUAUUACAAAAUAUAUAAGGGUACACUAAUUUCUAUGAGAAGUACCAUCUAAAACAGAUUGGUUUUAACCAUAUGCAACUUUGCAGGUAUGCUUAAAGACAAUAUAUUUCACCAUUUUGCUUCUAAAAGUGUACAAGCUGCGUUGUUCUGCACUUCUAGUUCUCCAAAAAAUCAGUGAUCAUAUCCCUCCUCCAAUCUCAGUCCACUGAGGCUGCACAAGUUGAUAGUAAACAAGUUUACCAGGGUAUAAUCAUGAUAAAGCAUUUGGCUUUUAACAAAUGGACAGGAAUCUUAAAACCAAAGCCAUGAGGUCAUCUUAAUCCGAUUAAUAUUUAUAAGGUAGCUGUUGGUCCUCUUUGCACACAAUCAUUGAGUUAUCAAAUGUCUUUCAACUUGUUAUGCUUCGUUUUCAUUGUGAUGUCAAAGUUUUCUGUUUCGUGCUUCAUAAGCUGCCAGUCUUAUUGUGUAUGGUCAAUGCCGGUGAUAACUUAUAACAUUGGAAUCCAUACCCCAGGCGUACUGCUACAUUAAGUUUGGUCCCAUAUUUACCAGUCUUUUUCUUUUUUUUUUUUUUGGGAUAAUUUCAAAAACCUUUCUUGAGGCUUUUGACGAUUGUGACCACCUCCUCUUGGUUUGAAAAUUUACACUUACCUCCGUUGAUGCCAUGAAAAAAUUAUGAUAGCCUUCACAAAUUUUAAGUGAAAAUGAGUUUACAUGAGAAAAGUGAAAAUUCUUUUUUGGUAAUACUUCUUUAUCCUAAAACUCUAUCGUCAUCUAAUCUAGUACAUUAUGCUUUGUUCUCAAUUUUUCUAACUAGAGUUAUUAAUCAAUGUAUAAAAUUUUGACCAACCAAUUAGGGAGGUAUUUGUUAAAAUAAGUAUCAUAAAAAAUUACUUAACCAAAAAAUGUUUCCAAAGUGCCAAAAAGAAUGCUUUCAAAACAUAGCUUAAUUUUUCCUACAAAAAACUAACUUGAAAUUUUCACCUAAAGGAUAAUGGUGACAGUUGACUUUUUAACAUUUAAUUUGUGUUACAUAUGAGAGAGGAGCAAUGUUGGAUAUUCAUUGGAUUUUUUUUGCUUACACCAUCAACUGUUAACAAGAAAUACUUUCUAAGGGAGGUUUCAGUAAUUUUUCAAAUCUCAGAAGAGGUGGUUACAAUAACCAGGAACUUCAAAGGAGGUUUUUGAAAUUAUCCCUAUAUUUUUUUUCCCUAGAAAAGAUCAUGCAUACAUUAUGUGCUAAUAAGUUGUCAUGUAAAAUACAUGUAAUUUCUAAGAAAAGGCACAAAUGUACAUUAUAUGUUCAUUUUGGGAGAAAAUUAUUUUAUUUUGGAUAUGUUGAGAAUCAAAAUGCAUUAUGUUAUGCAUGGGGAAGUAAAAAAAAAAAAAGGACAAACUCAAAAGUAUAAGUACCUUUGUGCAAUUUUCCCAUUGCAGAAUGCUAGUUGGAUUAAUACCUAAUCUUUGUCACUUUUGGCUUUAUCCUUAGCAAGAAGUUUUGGUCCACCGUUCCACACAAUCUACAAAUGCAUGCGCAUGGGCAUGGUAGUAUAAUAUAGAGGGGCUAAUCUUUAGGUAACAACUAGCAAUGUUCUUAAAUUAUUAAAACAGAAGUUUUAAUUGAUACAUCAACUAGCAGUAGGACUACUUUGGUAUAAAGAAAAAUGUUUUGAGACAAUGGAGUUUACAAUAAAGUUUGAGGGAUUUCCAUGAGACUAUGACAAUUUAGUUUAGGAUCCAAAUUAAGAAAUUUUAAAAUAAAACUUGAGGGACCUCCAUGAGAAUUUAAAAUUAAUUUAGGUAUUAGAUGUACAAAUUUUUAUACAGUUAUCACUAAAGGCUAAAUAUUGAAGAUAAGUGAGAAGUUUCGGGUUUGAAACCUUCCAUAUACCCAAAAAAAGGUUUUAUUUGCAGUUCACUAUAUAACUUUUACUUUAAAGCAAUUGAAAGCAAAUCCGAAACCGUCUUAUUCAAGUAUUGUAGUUUUAAGUAAUUACAUUUGGAAGUAAAAAGAAUUUUUCAUUCCAUUGGAGACGUAUUAAAGUUAGAAGUUUGUAGUAAUUACAUGGUAUAGAGAAAUUAUAUAAAGUUUUUUACACAUAGAAAAUUAUGCUUUGAUAUGCUUGAAAAUCAUUUUGCUUACAUAAAUAAUCUAUACAUGUUUUUAGAAGACGUUUUUCAAAAUUUUCAUGGUGAUGCUAUUGCUUUUUUUUUUUUUUUGCCUUUUUGUUUGUAUUUAGUUAAUUUAUUUUGCCUUUUAGUUAUCACAAAGCUAGUGUGAAGAAGCAAAAAUAGUUAUAAAUAAAUAUUGUUUAUAUCUACAUCCUGCAUCAAGGGAAUUGAUCACGAAAUUCUUAGCAAACGAAUCCGAAAUUAUAUUUAUGAAAUGAAAAAUAUAAAAAUGACAUGUUUUAUUUUAUAACAUUGCUUCCAACCAAAGAUAAUGACAUGUGUGUUGAAUCUAGCUUAGUUACACAUGAUAAGUAAUAAACGGCUGAAAAUUAAACAAAUGUGGCAUUGCACUCUUUAUUUAGCUUAUUAUAUCUCUUUCUUUUUUUUUUUUUUUGUUUCCCUUUGUUUCUAUUGAUGAUUCAUUUGCCAGGAGUUAGAGGCAGAAGAUUAAAUUGUACAUUAGAUGAAUGUGAAUGGCUUACAAGUUUAGAAGCCUUAAAAAUUCCUUUAAAUUCUCGAAGCAAAAGAGCAUUAGAUUCUAUUGUUCCUUUCUACAAUUGCCCAAGAAAGGGAGGAGGAAAGCAUAAUAUUAUACUAAAGUGAUGUUACAUGUGUAGAAAGCUUAGUCAACGUUAUUCUUAUUCCAUUGCAUUAACCCCUAUUUAUCUAGUCAACGGUACAAAUCGGCCCUAAAAUUGCUCAAAAACGAAUGUGAUUCUGGUGCAUAAUCUUUUGCCUUUUAAUGCCAAAAAUACCAUAGAACAGAGAGAACGGUGUUGAAAUUAGAAGAUGGCUCAUGAUACUCGUAGUGAUAAAAGUGAACUUUUCUUUUUCAGGAUCAUUGAUGUGUUAACAUUUCAGGAAUCAGAUAUAGGCGAACAAAAAAGUGAUAGAGAAGAUGAUGCUAAACAGAUGGUGCUUAAUUUCCCAAAAAUUUUCUUAAUCACAUGCAUUUCUUGUGUAGCAUUAAUAACUAAUGAAGAAUUGCAAGUGUAUGAACCUUUUAGGUACACUGCACUGGUGGUAGAAUUGUUUUUUAUUCCAAACCUAUGAUCCAAUUCAUACAUUGAAUUGUAUGAUAUUCACGUUAACAAGUUUAGCUGAUUUCGUUCCGAUCAUCACUAUAGGUUAAGGCAUACUUUCGAUACUAUAGAUUGCUUAAAUGAAUAUUUACAGAUUAUCCAUCAAUAUAUUUCUCUCGAUCGACACAUUAUGUGAUUGUGAUAAUUUGAGAGAAUGGAAAAGUGAAGGAGUCUCUAAAACUAAAGAAUGAAGAAUCAAGCUAUGAAGUGCUGAACUAAACAUAAGAUUUGAGGGUAUAACUUCAAUGCGCUACAAAUGCAUUUUAUAUUUACUCCAACUUGAAUUUGACAAAUAGAUUGGGACUUCAAUAGUUUCGUUCAUAACAAAUAAAUUGGAUUGAAACUUAUAUUUAUCAAUAUUUUCAAAAUGGCCGCUUCGAUCGGUUGAACCGCGAACUGGCCAUGAUACCGAUUCGGUUCUAUACCAAAGUUGACUUUGUAAGAAAAUUGGUCAAAACUGGUGAACCGGGAUCGAACCAGUGGUUUUCGGUUUUUCAAUUUUUCCAUCAAUAUUUUUUUUUAAGUUUUGCAAAAUGCAACCCACCAAAAUUUGAACUUAGGACCUUUGUGAUAGAAGACAAAUGUAGUAACCAUUGUACCAUCAUAUCCUAUUAGCCAUUUUGAUAAUUCAUUUAUAUAAAACAAACAUCCACAUUCAUUUUUUUCAUUUUUCCUACAAAAUCUCAUUCUCUCAUGAUUCUUUCUUUUUAAUCUUCAACUCUCUCUCACACACUCUCUCUUCUUUUCUUUUGUCACUCCCUUUUUAAUCAAACAUCUUUAGUUUUAAUUUAUUGAUGUUUUCUUUCAUCUUUUAAUUUUGUUUUUGUCCAUUAAAUUGAAAAAAUUUAAAAAAGAAUUAUUUUUCUUUAACUCUAAAGACUAACUAUUAAAUGCCACAACCACUUACUUUUAUCUCAUUUUUUAUUUUUAUCAAGUUUACAUUUCUGUUUUCGAUUCUCCUGACUUCCUUCAAACUCCAAACUUCUUUUUUUUUUUAAUUGCAAUCUCUAAAUCCCAAAAAACGUAAAUUAAAAUUUAAAAUCACAAUAUCUAAAUUCCUAUAGACGUGAAUUUUGUAUAAUUUCAAAAUAUUGUGAUAUUUUUGGGUUGGAUUUAAGAUCAUUUUUUGGUAGAUAUAAUUGAGAUUGAAAUGAAAUUUAUUUGUUUCAACUUAUACUUUAAAAUUUUUAUUUUUUUUAAAAAAAAUUCAAGUUAUUCAAAAAUAUUAAACUUUUCAUCAUAUAAAAUUUUAAAUUAGUUCAUUGCAUGACUUAUUUUGUACAUAUAUAGAUAUUUAUAUAAAUUAUUUUUUAAAAAAUUCAUUGAACCAGAGUUGAGUCAGUCCGAUCGAUUGAAUUUUGACUCAAACACUUCAUCGGUUCAAUUAACGGUCCGAAUUUGAAAACAUUGAUAUUUAUUUGCUAGCAAUAAUGCCAGCUUGUGCAUCACGUAUGGCUUUCUGUUUUUCAGUCGAUAUUUCUAAGCACUGUACGUAGAACUAAUAGUACAAGUAGCAAAAAUUAUGCGAUUUUCAUGAAGACGGGAGAAGGGAUCAACCUUUGGACGAUCGCUUUGGGAUACAAAAUUCCAUUCACAAGUGGACAAAAUUCCCGUCGGUUAUGCUUGGUCCUUGCAAGAUUGGCUGCCAAGUGGAGUUAGCCAUUUUGAUUGCCUUCGAGAGUUGAGUUGAAAAGCAGACGCAAGUCAAAGCAAAUCUUGGCAACUUUUAGGCCAAUUGUUGAUUGACAGAAGUGCAUCCGAAGAGCCAAUCAAGCAGCACUUGGCAAAGUUUGCUGGGCUUAGCCAUUUUGAUUGCUUUCUUCUUGUUUCAUAUUUGUUGAACUCCCCCGCCAAAUAAACAACUUUCAAUAUCCAACCGUGUCACCUGAACAAUGUAAUAUUUUUUAAACGUCUCGUAACUAUAUAUAAAUUUCUUAUGUAUUUUUAUAACAAAGAUGUGAUAUUUUAUUACUGUUCAUAUUGAUCCCAUGUAUAAUAAUUGCUCUCUGUUAUUAAUAAAUUUUACAAAUAAUUCACGUAGAAUUCUAUCUUAUUCAAAAAAUGUUAUAUCGUUUGUUUGUUUUACCGACAAUUAUUUGUGCCUUUGGUCCAAGAAAAGGCAGGCGCUAGUCAGAGCCGAAGUUGGCAACAAUUGGGCCAAUUGUCGAGUGACAGAAGCGCAUCCGUAGAGCCAAUCAAGCACCAUUUGGCAUGGUCUGCCUAGUGCUGUGGACAACUUGAUUUUUGUGAGUGGACGUGGGGGUUGGGAUGUGUUUCAAUUGUCGAUGGAAUGGAAUAUUGACAUUUUAAAGGGACGAAAUAAAAAGGCAAUGAAGGGAGAGGUGGCGCGCACGCAGAGGCAAUCCCAUCAAGGAAGAUACAUAGGAGUGCCACGAAAUUCUUCAGGAUAGCGUUAUUCUCCUACAUUUGAUGGUGAGGUCAAAGUUUCCUGUACCAAAAGGAGCAUGCCACAAAUUAACUUGAUUUUCUAGACAGAGAGUUUGAUUUACAGCUAUCCAGCAAUACCAUGUGCAGCACUUUAAUGACUUGCAUUCGGGACAGAUUUGGAGUGGGAUUCAAGGAAGAAAAAAAAAUUCACUAAGAUGAUAACGAGUGAACAUAUAGCCCCUUGGAGUUGGUUCGGAUGGUCUCGAAACAGCUUAGCUAGAUCCUGAAGUCGCGUGUUUGAGUCCCCUCUCUGUCGCUUAUGUAUCCUUGAGGGGUUGGGUACACAGGCACAGGAAGAUUAGUCCAGCAAAAAACUGGGAUACUUCCUGUAUUGACAAGAAAAUAAGAAAAGAUAACGAGUAAAUAUCUUUAACAUUUGAACUUCUGCUUUUCUUGUUGUAGCUAAUGGCAAAAAAAUUGCUGUGUUCUUAUUCAAGUAUAAUUAGCAUUCAAACUCAGAGUGCAGAAAAUUAUCGGAUCUUGAGUGAUACCAUUCUUAACUUUGGUGUUUCUGAUCAAUCAUAGUUAAAUUGCUCCCGGGAAAAUGACAAGCCAGAGCGUUGCAUCAUUUUGCAGAAAAGAUGAAAAGUACCCUUUCGGCGAUACAAGGGGCCAAAUGGGAUUUAUACCCGUGUCGAAUUGCCCUACCAAACAAACAGAUUGAAUAUCAACUAAAGAUCGAUACGCAAGCAUGCAAAUUUACUUUCCGUUUUCUUGACAUGGAAUUCUUGCAUACACAUCAUCAUCUUUAGGUCCGGGAGACGCUCCAAAUUGACUUGGUAUGUCCCUUGGUCAGGCUAGAAAGUGGGUGGAAUAAGUUCCUUGACAAGCACCUUGCAUAUGAGUUUGGUGCAUGGAUCUUGAUGGAGGUGCAUUUUCAAAUGGCUAUAGAAUCUAGGGAUAAUUUCCGAAACCUCUCCUCAGAGGUUUCUGACAAUUUCACUGAAUUCCCCUGAAUUUCCCUGAAAUUUGAAAAAUUGCAUAUACCUCCUUUGUCCAUUUAAAAUGGCAAUACCAAUCUUAAUAUUUUUAAUAAAACUCUCUUGUCGCCAUGAUUAUGCAAAGGAUGGAUUUUAUAAUUUUUUUUACCAUUUUCCUUCUUAUUCAUUUCUCUUAUAGUAUUUCAUUAGGAGUAUAGAAGAACUAUCAAUAUUGUCCCUAAUAUCUAUCCAAAUUAAACGUUAAACUAGUAAUUUUUUUUUUGUAACUUUUAAUAUCCUCCUAUUUUUUUUGUAGCUCCUUUUUUUUUUUUUUUGGGUAUCAAAACCAAGGAUAAGUCAACAAUAAUUAAAAACAAAUGGCCCAAAAUCAUUACCAAAUUAUGAUAGUUCUACCACUAAACUAGUCCCUAAAUUUUUAUUAUAAACUUUAAAAGAAACAAAAUAGCACUGUCUUCUCUAUCUUAAAAAGAAUUUAUAUUUCCAAUAAAGUACUAUGAAAAAUACCCUAUUAUAGUAAAAGAUUUAUUGUUAUAGUUAAUUAUUAAAUAACAAAUAUUAGUAUGAAAAACUUGAUACUCUUUUUGUUUAGAUGAAUAAAUUGAAUUUUGUAAGAUAAGGGCAUUUUAGGAUAUUCAUUAAAUUUUACUCUAUUUUAAAGUUUGGUUACCAAAGUGUCAAAUCAAGGGAGGUAAGUAUAAUUUUUAAAACAUCAAGGGAAUUAAGUGAAAUAGUAAGAAACCUCAAGGGAGGUUUCUAAAAUUAUGCCUAGAAUCUAAUCAAUAUGUAGCUAGAAGACUCCGCGGCUAUAUAUAUGUAGGUGUCCGGAUAGCUCAAUGUAGGCAUGUAAAGACCUAAGUUUAAAUUGUAGAAUUCAUUUUUUUUAGAAGAAAGAGGUCUUACAUGAAGAUAAAGAGUCUUGUUUGGUAGCCAAGGAUGACUUGCCUGCAGGCUCACCAAAGGGUUUCUAGUCCUUCUUUUGUUUUUUUUUUCCCCUGACAAAAGGGUUUUUAGUCCUUUGUUUAAUCAUCCAGGUAGAGUUGGGUUGAGAAGGAUGGUAAGGUGAAAAAAAUUGUAAGUAAGAUAUAUUAUAUUUAAAAUCUUUUGUUUACAAAAAAAAAAAAAAAGAGGGUCAAAAAAAGUCCUUUGCUUUAUUAUUAAACUUAUUUUUCAGUGUCAAGAUAGAGUUGCCUCCCCUCUCUAUUCAUCUUUUAAAAAAUAUUUAUGGAAUUUUUAAAAAGAUAUGAUAAGUAGUUAAAAAGAGAUGGAAUUUUUCAACGUAAUAGUAUCCUAUAGGUCAAGUAGUUAAUCUCUCUCCUUUUCAAUCCUAAAUGAGGUGAUAGAAAUACAAAUGUGGCUACAAAUUACUUAUUAUUUUUGACCAUCUUUUUGAGGAAUUAUUCCAUGCAUCCGUCACAUCAUGAAAAAAGUAGUAGGAUAUCACAAGUUAUGUUUAGAUUAUUAGUAAUCUUUUCAAAGAUUGUGCAUAGAAUAUAGGGGUUCUAAGUCUAACAAUUAUUAGCUUGGUGUACGUGUGGGACUUUUUUUUUUUUUUUUGGGUGUUUUUGUUAGGCAGUCCCCUUGGCUAUCCAGAGGGUCUCUUUUCUCUCAUGUUGGAUCUGCUCUUCUUCUUGAUGCAAGAUUUGUUAUUGAAACAUGUUAUUACAUUAUCAGAAGCAUAAUGGGCUAAUUUGAAAUUGCAUUAUUGUUCCAUCACUAGAUCAUAAGUAUAUAUUUUGAGCUUGUUACUAUAUUAUCUGUGGUUUAUAAUUAAGUUGCAAGGUUGUUGAAUUGUAAUAUGAAUACUUUCAUUCCACCACUCUUAAGUUACUUGUAAUCAUAAAAGAAAUCAAGGGGAGAAAAGGGUUUGGGCACUAUUAUAUGCCAUCAUAUGUGGUGUUUUCCCACAUGCAAUUUACCUACAAGGUGUCUUUUCUUGGCCUUCUAAAACCAUAUGAAUAUGAUUGUCUCUCAAGGAAUAUUUUCUAAUAAAAGUGGAUGUCUAUUUCUUGGAGCCUGAACAUUUUUCCAAGUUUUUACUCAAACGUAUUUUUUAAUCACGUGUUUUCGUAGAGAGAUUUUCUUAUGCAUAUUUUUUAAUUACUUUUUUAUCUCACAUACAUCGCAUUACUAUAGUAUAAAAUUUUAUGCAAACUUCAAAAACUUGCAAUCCUAACAGGCUUGUAGUGCCUCAAUUCUCUCAAACAUGCUAUCAACUGCGGAGAAGAUAUUGUCAAUGCGGUGGGAGUGGCACGAUUUGUAGUCUUCGUAUGGGCAAUGAACAUCGUAUGAUUGAGCCAACUUCAAAAUCCCUUGGUUCAAUAGUUGUCACCUGGCUAGUUUCAAGAAUUGCUGCUGCUGCUGCUGCUGCUUCAAGGGGCCUUAGAUGCUACCAUGUUGCCGAGCCAUUCAAUCAAUCUGCAAAAAGAAACCUCAUACGCGGUACUUUUCAGUUUGAACAGGAGCGCCCUGCCCUUGUUCAUUUCAUACAGGCUAUCUCAUGAUAUGAUCAAGCAGUGCCAGGAGGAGAUGCUGCGAAAGUAGAGUGACCGGCUGAUGAAGGAAUGACAGAUUUAGAUUAUUUGCACUAACAAAUGCUAGUUAGUAGAUAACAGGUCUUGUAGAUAAUAAUGUGUUUUAAGGCGAUCAGUUUAUUUGCAUUUCUAUUUGUAAAUUCUGAAAAAGUCGAACCAUUUAAUACAUGUUGAUUUAUAAAAAUAGAUCUACGUAAAAAUUUUAUUUUAUAGGUAUAACUAGAACGAUUCGAUAGCUCGACUCAGAAUCAUUCGAGAUUUUACAUAAGUCAAGUUUAAACAAAUAAUUUGUCUCGACAAGCUAUAGAGCGAUCUCAAACCUUGUUUGCAAACUUAAACGAACGUUUGUGAACAUGGGUGUAAUUGUUAUUUUACAAGUUUAGGAUUAGAUAAUUAGUGUUUCAACCUAUUAGAUACAUCAUCUAACAUAUGAUCAAAAUUUAGGCCUUGUUUGGAUUGUUGUUUUUCGUCAAAAAAAUACGUUAUUUUCCGUAAUUACAUUUUCCUAUUACCUUUUUCCCUCACAUACAUCAAAUCGCUACAGUAAUUUUUCCAUAAAAAAUCAUGGAAAAUGUAAUCCAAACACAACCUUAGCCUUCUUUUUGCCCUUGUCACUUUGCCGCUCGCAGCCACCCACACACCGACCACCAUCACCAACGCCUUCUCAAUCACCAUCUUUAUUGGCCGUCACCACUACAAAACUUCUCCUUCUACCAUUACCCAUUUUGUCUAGAAGCGUUACCAGUAUAAAGUUGGGUUCAGUUAUCCUUCGUCGUCCAUGUGCUUGACGGGCUAUUCCAUGAGACGAAAUUUAUCUAGUGCGUAUUUUUAGAUAGUGGCUGCGGAUUUUCUUAUCAAUAAAAAAAAUUGGGUUUUUUUUUAUUUUUUAUUUAUUUUUUGGUUAAGAAGAUUGUACCAAUUUAUCUUUUGUAGUACGGGUAAUAAAGAAAGUUCAAAAUUUAAGAAAUAUACACAGAGGAAAAUUUCUUUCUUUCGUUGUAUAUUUUACUAGAGUUUUUUUUUUUUUUCGUUUUAAUGCUGAGAUUAGAGUUGGUGUUCGUAGAGGUAGUCAUGGAGUUAGACUGUCAGAGUAUUCCCACUAUGUGUAUACUUUUUCUACUAUGAUAAAAGGAAACAUUACUAUUUUUCUACAAAAUUGGAAAAAAUUGAGAAAAUUUGAAAAGUAACACACUAUUUUGCCUUUGUUUUCUACCCUGUGUAAAAUGGGACACAAUUUUUUUUUGUUAUUUAUGAUGUCAUUUUUUAAAAUUUUUUGAAUUCCUCAUUUUUUCAAAAACAAGUUUUUAUAUAUAAUGUUACAGUAAUACAUAAAUAAAAACAAUCUAAAACACCACGUCCAUACAAUAUAUCAAAAAUUCCAAAUAUACAAAAAAAUAUAUAUCACCACCACCACCAUCACCAACCACCAAAAGCACACCACUACCCGCCGCCCCUUCCCCCUCUUUCUUUCUUCCUCAUCUUCCCUCAUCUCCUUCCCUUUUUCCUCUCUUUCUUCCUCCACCUUCUCUCCCUUUUCCUCCCCUCCCCUCCUCCUUCCUCUCCAUGUGUCUCUCGCUAUCCCCCCCUCUCCCAUCGCGACCAAAUUUGGUCGCGGGCGGCGUCCAUCUUCUGGUUGCGACUCACGAUUAGAGAGGAUUAAAGGGAGGAUGGUGGAAGAGGGUGGCGAGGAGGGAGGAGAGAAGGGAUGGUGGGUAAUGAUGGAUGGUUGUAAGAUUUUAUAAAAUUUUUAAUUUUAAAAAUAUCUCAUAAUAUAUUUUCUAACACACCUCAAAACCCCAUUAAAAACAUCUAUAAUAAAAUUUUUCAAUUAUAUUAUUCCAGUAAAAUAUUUCAAAAACACCUUAAAAACAGUUAAUCCAAACGAAACCUUAAUUUCUAUCGUCAUGAAAUACUUCUCAUAACAAUAUAAUGUAACAAAAUUAAACCGUAAAUUCAUAGUAACUUCUAUAUUGACUUUCAUACUGUUUUAAUUAUUAAUUCUUUGUCUCCUUUGCAAUUUGAAUUAUUUUUAUUUUUUGACAAUAUUUAGAAAAAAAUUAAGCCAUCAUAGUAACUUCUAUAUUGACUUUCAUACUUUUUUUUAAUUAUUAGCUCUUUCUCUCUUUUGCAAUUUGAAUUAUUUUUUAUUUUUUGACAAUAUUCAAGACAAAUUAAACACAUAUAAUUUUCAGUGCUCAGUUGCUUUUUUAGCAGUUUUUUGAACCGUUACUUAUAACUGAAAUUCAACAUUGCAUUUCAUCACCACUGCCGCCACCAGCAGAGUCACAUGCUCCGCCAACGGCGGCGCCACCGCUACGGUGCCCACAUUUGUGCCUUAUUAGCUGCCGUCCUUCUCCUCCUCUCCGUCACUCUCCUCUACAGUCGGAUCAACUUCUUCCAGUCCCACUCCACUGGUCCACACCAGCACUCCUAUUCCCAGUACGACGGCGUCUCGCUAACCGACAACCCCCUCGUCGAAGAUUCCACCGACUCUCUUGAUCAUGCCUCGAAUUCUGACGACCUCAUCGACGAGCAGGAUGACGCCGUUUUGAACACCAAAUAUAGCAACAGUAAUGGUGAUGAUUUCCUCUUAGGUGGAGAAUCGGAAGAAGAUGUGGAGGACGAGGACGACGACGUCGUUUCAGGUCAAAAUGAUAAGUCUAAGUCUUCUUCUUCUUCUUCUUCAUCUUCGCUUUACUAUUUUGAUCAUCAGAACGGCGUCGUUAGGAGAGGAUUUAAUAAGAAAUCAAUUGAGGAAUGGGAAGAUUAUGUUAGUUUUGAAUCUAAGCUGGGGUUAGAAUUAGGGUUUAGUAAUCGGGGAUCUAAGACUGCAUUUGGAUCGGAUGAUAUUCCUGUUGAUGAAAAAACGAGGAAAAAGUUAACUGAGGUUAAGGGAAUUGAGGAUGCAUUAUUGUUGAAGGGCUCAAAGUUGAGGGAAGGGUGGGGUGAAUGGUUUGAUAAAAAGAGUGAUUUCUUGAGGAGGGAUCGGAUGUUUAAGUCAAAUUUGGAGGCCGUAAAUCCGAUGAAUAAUCCGAUUUUGCAGGACCCGGAUAUGCCAGGGGUAACAGUGUUAACUAGAGGGGAUAAGCUUGUACAGAAGGGUAUGUUGAAUGAGUUCAAAAAGUGCCAUUUUUGGUUAAGAAGCCAUUGGCAUUUGAGAACAAGCAGACCGUUGAGAAAGACGAGAAUGUUGAGGUACAGAAAGAUGAAAUGAAGAAAAUCAAGAUGAACAAGCGAAAAACUUUGGAUAAUGCUAAUAGUCAGAGUAGUUAUACACGGAAGAACGAGAUUAAGAAUAAUGGUAGCGGUAAUCAUGGUUACAUUGUGAAAAAAGUUGAUAAUAGGAAGGAUUUGAAUGGGAACGGUGAGGAGGGAGGGAAAGAAUGUGAAAAAUGAGUUUUCAGGGCUGGUGUUUGCGGAUGGAAGAAGAUGGGGGUACUAUCCGGGGUUGGAUUCUAGAUUGUCGUUUAAUAAUUUUAUGGAUGCCUUUUUUAGGAAAGGGAAGUGUAAUUUGAGAGUUUUUAUGGUAUGGAAUUCUCCCCUUGGAUGUUUAGUGUACGUUACCAGAGGGGCUUGAGAGCGUUUUGUAUCAUCAUCCAGAUGCAUGCGUGGUAGUGUUUUCUGAGACGCUUGAGUUGAAUUUCUUCAAUAGCUUUGUGGAGGAUGGGUAAGUCUUUUUUGUUUUCUCUUUUUCCUUUAGUGGGAUGAGGAUGUUGCUUUUGUUCUCUAAUUGGAAGAAUCAGUUCAUUUGCUUGGUUUUUGACAGGCCUCUUUCUUUUGCAGCUCUGGUUAACCAUGUUUUGUCCUUUUUUUUUAUGUUCUUUGUAGUUUUUAGAGAACACACUUGAUUAUAUGACUCUAUAAAGCAUAUUUUGUUGCGUCAUGAUUGCUCUUGGUUUUCAAAGAUUUUGUUUUGGUGCACAUUUGUCAUAUGCCUUGUACCAUUUGAGGUGAAAACAAAAUUUGCUUGACAACUUUGCUAUCCCCUGCUUUGCAGUUUCAAGGUGGCUGUCGUCAUGCCAAAUCUUGAUGAGCUACUUCAAGAUACACCAACACAUAUAUUUGCCUCUGUCUGGUAUGAAUGGAAGAAGACAAAAUAUUAUCCUAUACAUUACAGUGAACUCAUCAGGCUUGCUGCUCUGUACAAGUAAGCAAAAUUUAGUAGCAGAAUCUUUUCAAGGCCAAAGCAGUAUGAAUCAUUUGAAAUACUUAUUCUGGAACCAAAUUUUUUAAAAAACAAGAAUUGAUUGGAGAAUAACUCAUGACAAGUGUUACAGGUAAGAAAGUUUGGUCUGAAUUUAAGGAAAUUCAGAAAGAGAAACAUCCAGUGAAGUUAAUCUGAUACACUGACUAUAUUCUAAACUAUGAAAUUUUAAUCUUUUUUGGAAAAUUAACUGUGCUAAAGCAUCAGUGAGCGUACAAUCAAAGUGGCAGAAAGUUUGACCUCUGCAAAAUGGAACAGGAAAUUUAUCUUUGUGAUUGCUUUUACAUAAUACACUGACAAUUUUCUAUUAGUGUAAAGUUUCUCUAAUUCAACCUUUGUGUAUUGCAGGUAUGGUGGUAUUUAUCUUGACUCUGAUGUUAUAGUGCUGAAAAAGUUAUCAUUACUUAAUUGUACUGUUGGCCUCGAAGACGAGCAAAAGGAGAACACUUUGAGUGGUGCAGUAAUGGCCUUCAGAAAGCACAGGUACAUCAGUAUUAUUACAAAGCUUUUUACUACAUUUUUAAUGAUAUAGUUUUUUUUAAACUAUAUGGCAUCUUUUAAGGAAAUUUUUUUGUAGCAAUUAUAAAUAUAACUAUGUGCAUCUAGGUUUUAAAAAAAAUACCAUUCAUAAAGUUUUCCUUCUUAGCCUGUGGAUGUUCAAUAGUUAGAUUUUGUGCUCCUACAGUGCUUAAUAAGCUGGAAGGAAACUAUUAAGAACAUUUGCUAUCUUGAUUCCAUAAACUCUGUCUCAGAACUAGCUAGGACUCACUUAUACAGGGUUGCACUUUCUGAUCCAGGAUUGAGUAUUGAUGUGUAGAAAGAUGAAGGAAGAAAGUAAUUGAAAUCUUUUUGGUAUAUAAUCAGUAGGCAUGUAGUAAGUCUUAGAUAAACUGCGUAGAGCUUCAAAGAAAUCACUCCAUGUAUUUAUUGUCCCACUGAAGGCAAUCUGUUUAUGGGCUAAGGUGGAUAAAGAUGCUUGUUUGAAUACUGGUAUUGGGAGAACUCUGAAGUUAGCAGAAAACUGAUUGCCAGGAAAAUUGUUUUUUAUUAGUAGCUCAAUGUUGUUUGGCAUGAAAUACCAUUGGAGUACACAAUUAAGAAGUCUUUUUUCAAACUUGGAGAAUGAUAUUAAAGAUGAUCACCUUAUAUAUGAUUUUAUACCUUAAUUUAGAAUGUUGAUGUGAGGACCAAAGAGUGCUCGAGUACAAAGGUAGACUUGGAAGAAAAUGACUUAUCAUGAGUUUCUAGGACUUAGUUUGCGUAGUUUCUUAUAAAUCUGACUUGUAUAUCUCAUAGAAGUUACAUUUGAUUUAUGUCUAUUUGGAUGUGAACUUGGAAUGCUUUGACAUUAUAUCUUUGCAUGUUGUGGAUGUUAGAAAAUUUACAUUUCUAUAAUUUUCUGUGUAUCCUGUUUUAGUGUUGACUCUCUUUGUUUCUUUUGAUUUUGUGCUUUUUGCAGUCCAUUUAUAAUGGAGUGCUUGACAGAGUUCUAUGCAUCAUAUGAUGAUACCCAGUUGAGAUGGAAUGGAGUUGAUCUUUUAACUAGAGUUGCUCUCAACUUUCUAGUAACAAGAAUCCCUUUGAUAAAAGGAUGGAGCUCAGUGUGCUACCUUCUUUUGUUUUCUUUCCUAUCAGUCGAAGUAACAUUUCAAGGUAAAAAUUUAUGAAAAGCUCUAUGCUUGUUACGUUUGCAAGUAACCUGUCUUUCAUUUGAAAUAUCAUUGCUCAGAGUACUCUGGUGGUUCGGGCAUCAUAUCUUGCCAAUUUGUUUUUGAAGCACUCAUGCCAAGUUGUGCUAGACUGUUUAGGGUACACCUUUUUUAGUGCAAUUCUCUUACAAUCAAUUUGCAAACCUAUCCUUUUGUGCUUGGAUUUCAACUUGAAGAUUCAGGGCCUCUUUCUUAUUGCUUAAAAUGAGCUGAUUUUAGCUCUUUCUAAGCUAGAGGGUUUUUAAUUUGACUGUUGACUUCUAUAUUGUCAUGAUUCUAAGCUGAAAUAAGCAGCCUAAAGGUGCUUUUAAAGCAGCUUUUGGCUUUUAAAACUUUUAUAGGGGAAUAUUUUUUUAGGUGGCUUUGAGGUUGCUUAAGCAAGCAAGAUCAAGAACAGAUGUGUUUCUUUUAAAGUUUUGUGGGUUUAAAGGAUCUUGAUGCUUAAUCGCUAAGUUGAAUUUAGUACCUUGAGGGGAAUUGGAAUUAUCUUAAACACUUAAAAUGAGGAUUUGGUUUUGCUGUGACCACCAGAGUAUAUGCAUGCAUAUCUAAACAUUUGCCACUUGUAAGUUAUGUAAGUUUAUAUAAUCAGCUGAUAUUAAUGAGAUUUGAAAGUGUUUUUGCAAGUAAAUACUUUCAAUAGCAAAGUCAAAAUUCAGCCGAGUGUGAGUCUAGUAUUUUAUACCAGUUAAACUCCAUUCUACAUGUCGAUCUGAUAACUAACACUAUUGUGAUAAAAUAUCAGCAUACCAGUAAUCUUCUCAAGAAAAAAGGAAAGAAGAGAAAACCCAGGUAAUGAGAAGGGGAAAAAAGGAAAAAAUAAAAGAGAAGAGAUGAUACCUUUCUGUUAUGUUGAGAAAUAGAUAGGGAUUUUUUUUUCAAAUGUGCCUUUUACCCUCAAAAUCCACAAAAUCUUGAUAUUUGUAUUUUGGCCAAAUGUGUAAACAGAAGAAGGUCUCGUUUAUUUCCCCUCCCUCUCAUGUGAAGGGAAGGGAAGGAGCAUAAGAAGUAGUUGAUGGUUUUAGAUGUCUCCAUUUCUUUCCUUUUGUAGUUCAUCUAAAACUCAAAAUAAGUUUUAUUUUUCUCUUUAAAUCUUUAUUUUUCUUCCCAUCCAAAUCAAGCGAAAAGGCUGGAAAUGCUAUUCAUAAAUAAUGAUCUGCUACUUUAUAUGAUGGAUUUCCAGUUACUGAUAUUUUUUUGGAACAAAAGAAGUAAAAUUUGGUGAGCUAUUUAUUGUUAAAUAAUAUGAUGAUGAUCUCCCGCAAAUAUUAAGUAUUAGAGGUUCAACGGUCUGUCUUGGGGUCUUGUUACUUUACUAAUAUCUGAGUGAUGAUGUCUAUAGACUAUAGCUAUUGUAUAUGGCCUACAAAUGAUGGAUUCAUGGGAUAUUUCCACCCCUCAAAUGGUGGCAGGAGAAUCCUGGAAAUUAAUCUCUGAGAAGUUGACCUGAAUUGGAAUUACCAGUCAAUUGUCUCACUACUACCAGUCAAAUUUGUGGGCACUGUAUAUGGUACCCUGAAAGUCAUCUUUCAGGAAAAUCUGCUGAUUGCCAGAUCCAAAUCACUUUCUUAAUCUAUUCUUUUUCAUUGCCCCCACUUUUCUCUUUUCUGCUUUCAUUGUCUGAAACUUAACAAUAGACAGUCUAACUCUUUCUUCUUCAAGGUAAGGUCUGUGUAGAUUCUAAAACCAUAUUUAUUGUAACUUUUCUUGAAU
This 22482-nucleotide long non-coding RNA is filed under the name Coffea arabica (coffee). RNAcentral's name for it is "long non-coding RNA (CARA_LNC006213)". The record is from RNAcentral. Lineage: Eukaryota; Viridiplantae; Streptophyta; Magnoliopsida; Gentianales; Rubiaceae.